Bubalus bubalis (water buffalo) is the source of this 366-nucleotide long non-coding RNA. RefSeq lists it as uncharacterized. The transcript has 3 exons. The record is from RefSeq and is a predicted model, not a curated record. Lineage: Eukaryota; Metazoa; Chordata; Mammalia; Artiodactyla; Bovidae.
ACCAUCAACAACUAGAGAAAAGCCCACGCAGCUGCGAAGACCCAGCACAGACAAAAGCAAGUGGAAACGACUGAGCCCACUACUGAAGCCCGCACACCUCAGCCUGUGUUCAGCACAAGAGAAGCCACCACAGUGAGAACAUGCACCACCACGAAAAGGCAACCGCGCUGACUGCAACUACAGAAGCUCGAGUGCAGCAACGAAGACCCACCACAGUCAAAAAAUUAAUUCUGGAGCUAGAUUAGACAACUGUUGCUGGCCUCCAAGACAGUUUCACAUCUCUUGGCAUUCACACCCUUACACAGGCUCCUCCUAAGAUGAACAGUGCUGAUUUCUACCAACAGAAGGAUACUGCAGAAGUGGAUU